GAUGAACGCUGGCGGCGUGCCUAAUACAUGCAAGUCGAGCGAACGGACGAGAAGCUUGCUUCUCUGAUGUUAGCGGCGGACGGGUGAGUAACACGUGGAUAACCUACCUAUAAGACUGGGAUAACUUCGGGAAACCGGAGCUAAUACCGGAUAAUAUUUUGAACCGCAUGGUUCAAUAGUGAAAUACGGUCUUGCUGUCACUUAUAGAUGGAUCCGCGCUGCAUUAGCUAGUUGGUAAGGUAACUGCUUACCAAGGCAACGAUGCAUAGCCGACCUGAGAGGGUGAUCGGCCACACUGGAACUGAGACACGGUCCAGACUCCUACGGGAGGCAGCAGUAGGGAAUCUUCCGCAAUGGGCGAAAGCCUGACGGAGCAACGCCGCGUGAGUGAUGAAGGUCUUCGGAUCGUAAAACUCUGUUAUUAGGGAAGAACAUAUGUGUAAGUAACUGUGCACAUCUUGACGGUACCUAAUCAGAAAGCCACGGCUAACUACGUG
This 497-nucleotide ribosomal RNA is filed under the name uncultured bacterium. Its description in RNAcentral is "partial 16S ribosomal RNA". It matches the Rfam family "Bacterial small subunit ribosomal RNA", at positions 28 to 507 of the family's 1533-position model. The record is from RNAcentral.